RNAcentral lists this long non-coding RNA (668 nucleotides) under Homo sapiens (human). RNAcentral's name for it is "non-protein coding lnc-FUBP1-2:3". Lineage: Eukaryota; Metazoa; Chordata; Mammalia; Primates; Hominidae. The record is from RNAcentral.
GCUUGGGAAGAGUACUACAAGAAAAUGGGUCAGGCAGUUCCUGCUCCGACUGGGGCUCCUCCAGGUGGUCAGCCAGAUUAUAGUGCAGCCUGGGCUGAGUAUUAUAGACAACAAGCAGCCUAUUAUGCCCAGACAAGUCCCCAGGGAAUGCCACAGCAUCCUCCAGCACCUCAGGUUUGAUCCAGCCAGUAUAGAACUAGCUCUGUAGGGGUGAGGAGGACUGUGCUGUGUAUCAUCCUUGAUUGUGUUCCUUCAAGGAGCAUUGCACUUGCCUUCCCAGACCUUCCACCUUAGGUUCUGCUGCAAAAAGCACCAGUGCUGAAGAUGCUGCAAGCACCAAAUCAUAGCUCAUAAAAUCAGGUCCUGAGAUAGUUACCCAUAAAGAGGAAUCCUUUGAGUGUAUGCCAUUGGUGAGCCGAUGAGCAUGGACCAUAGAAGGGCUCAAUGUAGAAGAAACUACCCGUGUGUAAAAAGAAGAUUGGCUUAAAAUGGCUACUGUGAUGGGAACAGUGUCUUAGGGAGAUGCAGCUUGGACUUGAGGUAAAUUGAAUACUUUACAACUGUGGUUUAGAGUUUGCUUUAAUGACAUUGUAUGUAAAAGGUCACAUGAUUGCUGUAAUUUUGUAUUCAUUAUGGUUUCCUCAAUAAAUGUACAUUGAUGACUAUUA